GACGAACGCUGGCGGCGUGCUUAACACAUGCAAGUCGAACGGAAAGGCCCUGCUUUUGUGGGGUGCUCGAGUGGCGAACGGGUGAGUAACACGUGAGUAACCUGCCCUUGACUUUGGGAUAACAUCAGGAAACUGGGGCUAAUACCGGAUAGGAGCUCCUGCUGCAUGGUGGGGGUUGGAAAGUUUCGGCGGUUGGGGAUGGACUCGCGGCUUAUCAGCUUGUUGGUGGGGUAGUGGCUUACCAAGGCUUUGACGGGUAGCCGGCCUGAGAGGGUGACCGGCCACAUUGGGACUGAGAUACGGCCCAGACUCCUACGGGAGGCAGCAGUGGGGAAUAUUGCACAAUGGGCGGAAGCCUGAUGCAGCAACGCCGCGUGCGGGAUGACGGCCUUCGGGUUGUAAACCGCUUUCGCCUGUGACGAAGCGUGGGUGACGGUAAUGGGUAAAGAAGCACCGGCUAACUACGUG
This 468-nucleotide ribosomal RNA is filed under the name uncultured bacterium. RNAcentral's name for it is "partial 16S ribosomal RNA". It matches the Rfam family "Bacterial small subunit ribosomal RNA", at positions 28 to 507 of the family's 1533-position model. The record is from RNAcentral.